This 253-nucleotide ribosomal RNA is filed under the name uncultured bacterium. RNAcentral's name for it is "partial 16S ribosomal RNA". It matches the Rfam family "Bacterial small subunit ribosomal RNA", at positions 524 to 776 of the family's 1533-position model. The record is from RNAcentral.
UACAGAGGGGGCAAGCGUUAUUCGGAAUUCUUGGGCGUAAAUGGCGCGUAGGCGGCUUCGCAAGUGGAAGGUGAAAUCCCUCGGCUUAACCGAGGAACUGCCCCCCAAACUGCUUUGCUUGAGGCCGGGAGAGGCGAGUGGAAUUCCCAGUGUAGCGGUGAAAUGCGUAGAUAUUGGGAGGAACACCAGUGGCGAAGGCGGCUCGCUGGACCGGUUCUGACGCUGAGGCGCGAAAGCGUGGGGAGCAAACGGG